Molecule: non-coding RNA, 1795 nt
Organism: Nylanderia fulva
Lineage: Eukaryota; Metazoa; Arthropoda; Insecta; Hymenoptera; Formicidae
Source: RefSeq, a predicted model, not a curated record
GUUAUAUUUUGAUAAUAAACCGCAUAAAGGUAAUUACAUUAAUAAAACGCAUUUAUAUGGCAUUAUAAUAUUCUAAAAGUUUUUAAAAAAAUUACAGAUAAAUUAAACAUACGUACGUAUAAAAUGAGCAUAUUAUAUAAGCAUCUUUCUGUUUCUAAAAUAAAGACUUAACAUUUCCAGAUGUACAUAUAAACACAAUGUAUCUUUCAUAAAGUGUUUGUCCGACAACUGCAAGAUAUUUAUAUCGUCAAUAUAUUAUAAAAUAAAUUCGACAUUAUUUUAUUGAAAAUGCAAAGCAUGAUCUUGCGUAUGCAGGUUUCAUAGAAAAUUGCAUUGUGACCGAAAAUUAUAAUAUAAAAAAAUACUAAUAUAUAUAACAAUAUAUAUAAUCAAUGAACUUUGAAAACUAACAUAACAUUUUCAGCAAUAUAUAUGUAAUUCUCAAGAUGAAACGCAUAAAGCAUGGGUCUGAAAUUGUAAUUUAGGAAACAUUCGAGCGAUAUUAUCGGGAUAACAUGGAUGACGCGUUGAGAGACACUGGUUGCCUCGGAUGACUGGUCGGUUAAGUCGAGAUACCGGUCUCAUCUAGUAGAACUAGCACCGGAGCUCAAGAGUUGAGCGUAGCAAUAGUCGUUCCAGCUUCCGUGAGAUCUCACACACACAGUCUACACGCGUGCAAGCGCGUACCUUCGCGAGGUGGAGAGCUAAGAAAAAGAUGAAACGCGCGCGACGAGCGCAGAGAAGGGAUAGGAAGCUGUAUAAAGGAACGCUCUAAAGGAAAAGUUGGAAGAGAAGAGAAGAGAGAAGGAGGUGAUCACCGGGAGGAGAGCGAGAGAUAAUUUAACAACUACAUAUACAUACCGGACACAGACGCUGGAUCCUCAGCUUCGGCCGUCCUCGGGGUGCCUCGUGAGGGUUCGGGCACGCGAGAACCACGCGCAUCAAGGUCGCGGCCAUCCACCUUUCCCUCGCGGCAAGUGCACGCACAGGCUACAUCGUCGACGUCGGGGUCCGGUCGACCCGGCGGCCAACGCCGCAACCAGGAUGACCGGCGGCUGUCUCGUUUUUCCAGGGACGCACACAGUCGAUGCAGGUAGAAGAGAAGCGGAGGAGAUCAGCCGGCAACAGAAGCGGAGAAGGGCCCCGGAACAGGGCGAGGUAUAAGCGGCAUCAGAAGAUGGCCGGGAGGUUUGACCCUGCCAAGAAUCCUGCAUCUGCCUGCUCUCUCUCUUCUCAACCCCGCUUCGACCAGCGGCUAAUUUGCCGUCUCCGACUGACCGUGGAACCUGUUAGCGCAGCGAAAUCAGCGCGAAGAUAUGAAAUGCGGUUGCGUCUCCCAUCGGGGUUCGCAAGGAAUGCUAUAGUCUACGUUAGCCAGUAUUGUCGCCAAUUUAUCCACGAUACGAACUCACAUUUUGUGGAAAAGAUCGUGAUCAUAUUACCAUUGAAACCUUUCGACGAGCGAGUUUCUCGACAACGAGCCAUCAUUACGCUCCUGCUAAGCCGUCUUAGCCGGUUUUACAGGUUUCGAAUGACCACAGUAAGUUCACACAUUACGUUGUUUCAUUUAUGUGAAUGCCUCUACAAAGCUAUUGAAAUUUCAGCUAAAAUGCAUAUAUAAUAAUAUUCGCGUAAAGUAGCACUUUCAAAGGUUCUAUAUAUCCCUCGCAAUCCAUGUUUCGCCUCUUACAAUCUUUAUACCGCAUAUUAGAUCACUGGAAAGGCAUUUCCGGUUAUAAUAGUAUUGAUAUCGUAUUCUCCAAAUGUUCGCAAUAAAAGAGUGCCUUACUUGGUA